RNAcentral lists this ribosomal RNA (465 nucleotides) under uncultured bacterium. Its description in RNAcentral is "partial 16S ribosomal RNA". It matches the Rfam family "Bacterial small subunit ribosomal RNA", at positions 338 to 795 of the family's 1533-position model. The record is from RNAcentral.
CCUACGGGGUGCAGCCGUGGGGAAUAUUGCGCAAUGGGCGAAAGCCUGACGCAGCGACGCCGCGUGAGGGAUGAAGGUCUUCGGAUCGUAAACCUCUGUCAGCAGGGAAGAACGGUCACUGUGCUAAUCAGCAGUGAAUUGACGGUACCUGCAAAGGAAGCACCGGCUAAAUCCGUGCCAGCAGCCGCGGUAAUACGGAGGGUGCGAGCGUUAAUCGGAAUUACGGGGCGUAAAGCGCUCGUAGGCGGUAUGUCAAGUCAAUGGUGAAAUCCCCGAGCUCAACGUGGGAACUGCCUUUGAAACUGGCAAACUGGAGUGUGUGAGAGGAUAGUGGAAUUCCAGGUGUAGGAGUGAAAUCCGUAGAUAUCUGGAGGAACAUCAGUGGCGAAGGCGACUAUCUGGCACAUAACUGACGCUGAGGAGCGAAAGCGUGGGUAGCAAACAGGAUUAGAUACCCUAGUAGUC